RNAcentral lists this ribosomal RNA (435 nucleotides) under uncultured organism. Its description in RNAcentral is "bacterial SSU rRNA". It matches the Rfam family "Bacterial small subunit ribosomal RNA", at positions 346 to 794 of the family's 1533-position model. The record is from RNAcentral.
GUGCACCAAGCGAGAAUAUUUCGCAAUGGGCGCAAGCCUGACGAAGCGACGCCGCGUGCUUGAAGAAGCCCUUCGGGGUGUAAGAGCUUUAUCGGGGAUGAACCUUCGGGUGACAGUACCUGAUGAAUAAGGGGGUGCUAACUCUGUGCCAGCAGCAGCGGUAAUACAGAGCCCCCAAGCGUUAUCCGGAUUUAUUGGGCGUAAAGGGUCCGUAGGCGUCCCGCCAGGUUUCCUGUUAAAUAUCUAGGGCUUAACCUUAGAGCUGCAGGAAAAACCGGCGGGAUAGAGGGCGUUAGAGGCUGAUGGAACGGUCGGUGUAGGGGUGAAAUCCGUUGAUAUCGACCGGACACCGAAAGCGAAGGCAUUCAGCUGGGGCGACCCUGACGCUGAGGGACGAAAGCGUAGGUAGCGAACGGGAUUAGAUACCCGGGUAGU